GAUAAGGAGCUUGCUCCUUUGACGUUAGCGGCGGACGGGUGAGUAACACGUGGGUAACCUACCUAUAAGACUGGGAUAACUUCGGGAAACCGGAGCUAAUACCGGAUAAUAUUUCGAACCGCAUGGUUCGAUAGUGAAAGAUGGUUUUGCUAUCACUUAUAGAUGGACCCGCGCCGUAUUAGCUAGUUGGUAAGGUAACGGCUUACCAAGGCGACGAUACGUAGCCGACCUGAGAGGGUGAUCGGCCACACUGGAACUGAGACACGGUCCAGACUCCUACGGGAGGCAGCAGUAGGGAAUCUUCCGCAAUGGGCGAAAGCCUGACGGAGCAACGCCGCGUGAGUGAUGAAGGUCUUCGGAUCGUAAAACUCUGUUAUUAGGGAAGAACAUACGUGUAAGUAACUGUGCACGUCUUGACGGUACCUAAUCAGAAAGCCACGGCUAACUACGUGCCAGCAGCCGCGGUAAUACGUAGGUGGCAAGCGUUAUCCGGAAUUAUUGGGCGUAAAGCGCGCGUAGGCGGUUUUUUAAGUCUGAUGUGAAAGCCCACGGCUCAACCGUGGAGGGUCAUUGGAAACUGGAAAACUUGAGUGCAGAAGAGGAAAGUGGAAUUCCAUGUGUAGCGGUGAAAUGCGCAGAGAUAUGGAGGAACACCAGUGGCGAAGGCGACUUUCUGGUCUGUAACUGACGCUGAUGUGCGAAAGCGUGGGGAUCAAACAGGAUUAGAUACCCUGGUAGUCCACGCCGUAAACGAUGAGUGCUAAGUGUUAGGGGGUUUCCGCCCCUUAGUGCUGCAGCUAACGCAUUAAGCACUCCGCCUGGGGAGUACGACCGCAAGGUUGAAACUCAAAGGAAUUGACGGGGACCCGCACAAGCGGUGGAGCAUGUGGUUUAAUUCGAAGCAACGCGAAGAACCUUACCAAAUCUUGACAUCCUUUGACAACUCUAGAGAUAGAGCCUUCCCCUUCGGGGGACAAAGUGACAGGUGGUGCAUGGUUGUCGUCAGCUCGUGUCGUGAGAUGUUGGGUUAAGUCCCGCAACGAGCGCAACCCUUAAGCUUAGUUGCCAUCAUUAAGUUGGGCACUCUAAGUUGACUGCCGGUGACAAACCGGAGGAAGGUGGGGAUGACGUCAAAUCAUCAUGCCCCUUAUGAUUUGGGCUACACACGUGCUACAAUGGACAAUACAAAGGGCAGCGAAACCGCGAGGUCAAGCAAAUCCCAUAAAGUUGUUCUCAGUUCGGAUUGUAGUCUGCAACUCGACUACAUGAAGCUGGAAUCGCUAGUAAUCGUAGAUCAGCAUGCUACGGUGAAUACGUUCCCGGGUCUUGUACACACCGCCCGUCACACCACGAGAGUUUGUAACACCCGAAGCCGGUGGAGUAACCAUUGGAGCUAGC
Molecule: ribosomal RNA, 1398 nt
Filed under: Staphylococcus haemolyticus
Lineage: Bacteria; Bacillati; Bacillota; Bacilli; Caryophanales; Staphylococcaceae
Description: bacterial SSU rRNA
Rfam family: Bacterial small subunit ribosomal RNA
Source: RNAcentral